UCUCUGCGAAUUUGACAUUUU
This 21-nucleotide non-coding RNA is filed under the name Caenorhabditis elegans. Lineage: Eukaryota; Metazoa; Nematoda; Chromadorea; Rhabditida; Rhabditidae. The record is from RNAcentral.